RNAcentral lists this ribosomal RNA (305 nucleotides) under uncultured bacterium. RNAcentral's name for it is "bacterial SSU rRNA". It matches the Rfam family "Bacterial small subunit ribosomal RNA", at positions 335 to 638 of the family's 1533-position model. The record is from RNAcentral.
AGGCCUACGGGAGGCAGCAGUGAGGAAUAUUGGUCAAUGGACGCAAGUCUGAACCAGCCAUGCCGCGUGAGGGAUGACUGCCCUAUGGGUUGUAAACCUCUUUUGUAUGGGGGGAAUAAGCUUUACGAGUAGAGUGAUGACAGUACCAUACGAAUAAGCAUCGGCUAACUCCGUGCCAGCAGCCGCGGUAAUACGGAGGAUGCGAGCGUUAUCCGGAUUUAUUGGGUUUAAAGGGUGCGUAGGCGGCAUUAUAUGUUAGUGGUAAAAUAUUGGGGCUUCACCUCACUACGCCAUUAAUACUGUAG